GACGAACGCUGGCGGCGUGCUUAACACAUGCAAGUCGAGCGGAAAGGCCACUUCGGUGGUACUCGAGCGGCGAACGGGUGAGUAACACGUGAGUAAUCUGCCCCUGGCUUUGGGAUAGCCACCGGAAACGGUGAUUAAUACCGGAUAUGACCACUUCACGCAUGUGAUGGUGGUGGAAAGUUUUUCGGCCAGGGAUGUGCUCGCGGCCUAUCAGCUUGAUGGUGAGGUAAUGGCCCACCAUGGCUU
RNAcentral lists this ribosomal RNA (246 nucleotides) under uncultured Actinomycetes bacterium. RNAcentral's name for it is "uncultured actinobacterium partial 16S ribosomal RNA". It matches the Rfam family "Bacterial small subunit ribosomal RNA", at positions 28 to 276 of the family's 1533-position model. Lineage: Bacteria; Bacillati; Actinomycetota; Actinomycetes. The record is from RNAcentral.